Long non-coding RNA from Hordeum vulgare subsp. vulgare (domesticated barley), 102 nucleotides. RefSeq lists it as uncharacterized. Lineage: Eukaryota; Viridiplantae; Streptophyta; Magnoliopsida; Poales; Poaceae. The transcript has 3 exons. The record is from RefSeq and is a predicted model, not a curated record.
GCGGUGUAAUCUUCUCUGAAACACAUGUUAGAAGGUUAGAACAGCUAAAGAAUUGGUUCCUCAUCUGAUCUUUCUUUCAUGGUCAUGAUUGAUCCGGGGAUG